GACAGAGGGUGCAAACGUUGCUCGGAAUUACUGGGCGUAAAGCGCGUGUAGGCGGUUCCGCAAGUCAGGUGUGAAAGCCCAGGGCUCAACCCUGGAAUUGCCUUCGAUACUGUCUGGCUAGAGACCGGAAGAGGUAAGUGGAACUGCGAGUGUAGAGGUGAAAUUCGUAGAUAUUCGCAAGAACACCAGUGGCGAAGGCGGCUUACUGGUCCGGUUCUGACGCUGAGGCGCGAAAGCGUGGGGAGCAAACAGG
This 253-nucleotide ribosomal RNA is filed under the name uncultured bacterium. RNAcentral describes it as "partial 16S ribosomal RNA". It matches the Rfam family "Bacterial small subunit ribosomal RNA", at positions 524 to 776 of the family's 1533-position model. The record is from RNAcentral.